AGCGCAGGCGGGAAACUAAGCGGAUCUUAAAAGUGCGGGGCUCAACCCCGUGAGGGGGUCCGAACUGGUUUUCUUGAGUGCAGGAGAGGAAAGCGGAAUUCCCAGUGUAGCGGUGAAAUGCGUAGAUAUUGGGAAGAACACCAGUGGCGAAGGCGGCUUUCUGGACUGUAACUGACGCUGAGGCUCGAAAGCUAGGGUAGCGAAC
This 205-nucleotide ribosomal RNA is filed under the name uncultured bacterium. RNAcentral describes it as "partial 16S ribosomal RNA". It matches the Rfam family "Bacterial small subunit ribosomal RNA", at positions 568 to 773 of the family's 1533-position model. The record is from RNAcentral.